This 963-nucleotide ribosomal RNA is filed under the name uncultured bacterium. RNAcentral describes it as "bacterial SSU rRNA". It matches the Rfam family "Bacterial small subunit ribosomal RNA", at positions 47 to 1022 of the family's 1533-position model. The record is from RNAcentral.
CUUAACACAUGCAAGUCGAGCGAUGAAGUUUCUUCGGAAAUGGAUUAGCGGCGAACGGGUGAGGAACACGUGAAGAAUCUGCCCUCCACUUUGGGAUAACACAGGGAAACCUGUGCUAAUACCGAAUAUUGAAACUUAAGUGGCAUCACUGAGUUUUGAAAGAAUUUCGGUGGAGGAUGACUUCGCGGCCUAUCAGCUAGUUGGUGAGGUAAUGGCUCACCAAGGCAACGACGGGUAGCCGGCCUGAGAGGGCGACCGGCCACACUGGGACUGAGACACGGCCCAGACUCCUACGGGAGGCAGCAGUGGGGAAUAUUGGGCAAUGGAGGAAACUCUGACCCAGCGACGCCGCGUGCGGGAUGAAGGCCUUCGGGUUGUAAACCGCUUUCAGUAGGGAAGAAGCGAAAGUGACGGUACCUACAAAAGAAGCACCGGCUAACUAUGUGCCAGCAGCCGCGGUAAUACAUAGGGUGCAAGCGUUGUCCGGAAUUAUUGGGCGUAAAGAGCUCGUAGGUCGUUUGUUACGUCGGAUGUGAAAACCUGAGGCUCAACCUCAGGCCUGCAUUCGAUACGGGCAAACUAGAGUUUGGUAGGGGAGACUGGAAUUCCUGGUGUAGCGGUGGAAUGCGCAGAUAUCAGGAGGAACACCAAUGGCGAAGGCAGGUCUCUGGGCCAAUACUGACACUGAGGAGCGAAAGUCUGGGGAGCGAACAGGAUUAGAUACCCUGGUAGUCCGGACCGUAAACGGUGGGCACUAGUUGUGGGGACCUUCCACGGUUUCUGCGACGCAGCUAACGCAUUAAGUGCCCCGCCUGGGGAGUACGAUCGCAAGAUUAAAACUCAAAGGAAUUGACGGGGCCCCGCACAAGCAGCGGAGCAUGCGGCUUAAUUCGACGCAACGCGAAGAACCUUACCAAGGCUUGACAUAUAGGGAAAAGUGGCAGAGAUGUCAUGUCCGCAAGG